RNAcentral lists this ribosomal RNA (442 nucleotides) under uncultured microorganism. Its description in RNAcentral is "bacterial SSU rRNA". It matches the Rfam family "Bacterial small subunit ribosomal RNA", at positions 346 to 776 of the family's 1533-position model. The record is from RNAcentral.
GCGCAGCAGGCGAGAAUAGUCUACAAUGGACGAAAGUCUGAUAGUGCGACGCCGUGUGUGCGAUUAAUUCCUUCGGGAUGUAAAGCACUUUUCUAUGAGAUAAAAGCUCUUUAGGUUAAUAGCUUAUUGAGACGGAUAUUAUUAUAGGAAUAAGCUCCGGCUAACUCCGUGCCAGCAGCCGCGGUAAUACGGAAGGAGCGAGCGUUGUCCGGAUUUACUAGGCGUAAAGGGCUAGUAGGCGACUAAUUAAGUUAUAUGUUAAAUCCCACGGCUCAACUGUGGUCCUGCAUGUAAUACUGGUUAGAUAGAGUACUGUAGAGGAAGGCAGAAUUCCUGGAGUAGCGGUGGAAUGCGCAGAUAUCAGGAAGAAUACCAAAAAGACGAAGGACAGCCUUCUGGGCAGUUACUGACGCUGAAUAGCGAAGGUGUGGUAGCGAACAGG